Molecule: antisense RNA, 75 nt
Filed under: Streptomyces mirabilis
Lineage: Bacteria; Bacillati; Actinomycetota; Actinomycetes; Kitasatosporales; Streptomycetaceae
Description: ASpks TB sRNA
Rfam family: ASpks TB sRNA
Source: RNAcentral
CUUCAACGAGCCCAGCCACAGCGGCUGUUGGGCGGCCCGGUCCUGCCCGUACGUGGCCAGCAGAGCCUGCGCCUC